Vicia faba (fava bean) is the source of this 309-nucleotide non-coding RNA. NCBI's taxonomy places the organism in Eukaryota, Viridiplantae, Streptophyta, Magnoliopsida, Fabales, Fabaceae. The record is from the annotation of a GenBank genome assembly.
AUGAACGAUGAUGUUUCGAAUCUUUUGAUUAGUCUUAAUAAUGGAGAUGAAGAUUUGAAGUUGUUGUUUGAGAUGUUGAGGAAUUUAAGGUUUAUAGUAGCUAGUGCAGCUCGAGUUUCCCCGUCGUUUGUAGCAAGGGGUAGCCUUGUUCCAGGAAAGAUUAUUGCAGUAUGGAGACCAAGAACAGAAGGCAAAGAAACAGGUAGCCCGUCAUUUGAAAUCAGUUGGGUUGUAGAGAUGGGAGUAGGCAUUGAAGGAGCAUUUGAGCAGAGAAAUUUAAAGCAACUCAAAAUACAACAAAAAGUAUGA